GUCGAGCGGACAGAAGGGAGCUUGCUCCCGGAUGUUAGCGGCGGACGGGUGAGUAACACGUGGGUAACCUGCCUGUAAGACUGGGAUAACUCCGGGAAACCGGAGCUAAUACCGGAUAGUUCCUUGAACCGCAUGGUUCAAGGAUGAAAGACGGUUUCGGCUGUCACUUACAGAUGGACCCGCGGCGCAUUAGCUAGUUGGUGAGGUAACGGCUCACCAAGGCGACGAUGCGUAGCCGACCUGAGAGGGUGAUCGGCCACACUGGGACUGAGACACGGCCCAGACUCCUACGGGAGGCAGCAGUAGGGAAUCUUCCGCAAUGGACGAAAGUCUGACGGAGCAACGCCGCGUGAGUGAUGAAGGUUUUCGGAUCGUAAAGCUCUGUUGUUAGGGAAGAACAAGUGCAAGAGUAACUGCUUGCACCUUGACGGUACCUAACCAGAAAGCCACGGCUAACUACGUGCCAGCAGCCGCGGUAAUACGUAGGUGGCAAGCGUUGUCCGGAAUUAUUGGGCGUAAAGGGCUCGCAGGCGGUUUCUUAAGUCUGAUGUGAAAGCCCCCGGCUCAACCGGGGAGGGUCAUUGGAAACUGGGAAACUUGAGUGCAGAAGAGGAGAGUGGAAUUCCACGUGUAGC
RNAcentral lists this ribosomal RNA (635 nucleotides) under Bacillus pumilus. RNAcentral's name for it is "bacterial SSU rRNA". It matches the Rfam family "Bacterial small subunit ribosomal RNA", at positions 61 to 679 of the family's 1533-position model. Lineage: Bacteria; Bacillati; Bacillota; Bacilli; Caryophanales; Bacillaceae. The record is from RNAcentral.